UACGAAGGGGGCUAGCGUUGCUCGGAAUGACUGGGCGUAAAGGGCGCGUAGGCGGUUCUGACAGUCAGGCGUGAAAUUCCUGGGCUCAACCUGGGGGCUGCGCUUGCGACGUCGGGGCUGGAGUGCGGAAGAGGGUCGUGGAAUUCCCAGUGUAGAGGUGAAAUUCGUAGAUAUUGGGAAGAACACCGGUGGCGAAGGCGGCGACCUGGUCCGUGACUGACGCUGAGGCGCGAAAGCGUGGGGAGCAAACAGG
This 253-nucleotide ribosomal RNA is filed under the name uncultured bacterium. RNAcentral describes it as "partial 16S ribosomal RNA". It matches the Rfam family "Bacterial small subunit ribosomal RNA", at positions 524 to 776 of the family's 1533-position model. The record is from RNAcentral.